GAUGAACGCUGACAGAAUGCUUAACACAUGCAAGUCUUUGGUGAAGCUGUGCUUGCACAGCCUAGCCAAGGCGGACGGGUGAGUAACGCGUCAGGAACUUGCCCUGCAGUCAGGGAUAACAGACGGAAACGACUGAUAAGACCUGGUAAAGUCAGGCGGACUCAUGUCCAGCCUGAUGAAAAGAGAUGCUGCAGGAGAGCCUUGCGUCCUAUUAGCUUGUUGGUGGGGUAACGGCCCACCAAGGCAAUGAUAGGUAGCCGGCCUGAGAGGGUGGACGGCCACAAGGGGACUGAGAUACGGCCCUUACUCCUACGGGAGGCAGCAGGGGGGAAUAUUGGAAAAUGGGGGCAACCCUGAUACAGCAAUUCUGUGUGCACGAUGAAGGUUUUCGGAUUGUAAAGUGCUUUCAGCAGGGAAGAAAAAAAUGACGGUACCUGCAGAAGAAGCGACGGCUAAAUACGUG
RNAcentral lists this ribosomal RNA (463 nucleotides) under uncultured bacterium. RNAcentral describes it as "partial 16S ribosomal RNA". It matches the Rfam family "Bacterial small subunit ribosomal RNA", at positions 28 to 507 of the family's 1533-position model. The record is from RNAcentral.